Non-coding RNA from Oryctolagus cuniculus (rabbit), 8975 nucleotides. Lineage: Eukaryota; Metazoa; Chordata; Mammalia; Lagomorpha; Leporidae. The record is from RefSeq and is a predicted model, not a curated record.
CCUGUUAGGUCUGGGUGGAAUUCCUCAGGAGGGAGAGGCUCUGAUGGGGGGGAGGGGACACAGACCCACUCCAGGAAUAGGUGAGCCCCUUCCAGUGCUGUUUCCGGAUGCCACCAGGCUUGUGCCUUUGCCCCCGGGGCGGCAGGGAGGAGGGGGUUCCGGCACUGCCAGAUCAGAGAUGUAGUCCAGUUGGAUCCCACCUGCCUGCCCACCCUCUGGUCUGGACAAGUAUUGCUGACAUGGCUGCAGCCCCCGGGGCAGUAUAUUGCAUACCUGAAGGAGAGCACAGAGAAAUGGAGGAAUAGACAGGAAGCCCUCAGGCAUAACGCCAGUAGCCUCUCCUGGCAACUGAUAGUUCAGCAGACAUAUUAUAUGGAUUUGUGGGCUGACUUUCAUACCAUGGUUAAGGUCAGAGUUACACACAGAGAGAAGGAGAGGGAGAGAGAGAUGAUGAUUCACUGCCCAAGAUGACUGUAAGGGCUGGAGCUGUGCCGAUCUGAAGCCAGGAGCCAGGCGCUUCCUCCGGACCCCCAACGCAGGUGCAGGAGCCCAAGGACUUGGACCAUCUUCUACUGCUUUCCCAGGCCUCAGCAGAGAGCUGGACUGGAAGAGGAACAGAUGGGACUAGAACCGGCACCCAUAUGGGAUGCUGGCACUGCAGGCAGCGGCUUUACCUGUUGCGCCACAGUGCAGGUCCUGCAGACACAGUUCUAAGAAUGCAAUGAUAUUCCCUUCCUCUCCUUUCCCUCCCUCCACUUCUCUUCCUCCCACUCUAUUCCUUAUCCCUUUCUUUUUUUUUAAUUUUUGAGGUAACAGAACUUAAAUUUACAUUGCAGUGAAAAGACUUAAUACUUAACCAGAUAAGAAGUUUAACAAGUAAAAAACAAAAAGAGCCUAGUUUACUGGGAAUGUAGAGAAGGGCUGUAAACAAUAAUUGAGUGGAAGAACAUCCAUUUCAUUGAACUUAUGGGAACUUAAAGCUCAGAGCCUACCUGACUCCCAAGUUCUUUCUCUUACGCCGAGUCUCCUUUGCAGUUUUAUGCUGCUCUGAGGGUGAGCUGGCUCUUUAUGCCACCACUCCCCACUGCCUCUUGCAGCUAAAACGGUGAGGCCAGUGAGCAUUGCAUUGAAUCUUUUCAUUCGAUAAUCUGUUUCUAUGAGAUCGCUUACAGAACUUUAUGAAUUAGCAACUUUACACACAUCCUUAUUGGCAUAACUGAUCCUAUUUGCAUAUCUAAUAUUUUUGUUUGGGGCAUGAUCCACUCAGAAUCUGUUUAUAUUUUGUUGCAAUUUGUAUUCAUGCAUCCAAAUAUGCCAUCUCUUUAAGGACUUGGUGUGCACCAGUGAAGAGACCUUGCAAGAAAUAAAAAAUCUAAUAGAUGAGCUGUAUGAAAGGGAUGAAAAAAUCGCAAGUGUCAGUACUUGGCUCCAAGGGAACCUUGAAGAGCUGCGUUCUCUCAUGAAGCAUGAAUCAUCACUGGACCUGCAUUGCAAGUAUAUGACUCAGCUUUUCACCACUGAAAUGAAAUACCCGAGGAAACUAUAAGGAAACAUGGGCUUAUUGAGAUUACAGCUUUGGAAUGUCAAGUCCAAGAUCGGGCAACCCUGUGGGUUUGGUAUCUGAUGUUAGUUGGCAACAGUGAGCAUGUGUGGAGCAACAAUCAGGUGGUGAGGUCAUGCUUUUCUAACAGUGCUUUCACAAGAAUGACCUUCUGAGGGACACUCAGUGACCCAAGGACCUCUCAUGAGCUCCCACCUCCUACACCAUAAUUGGAUUCAGCUUCCACUCUCCUAGUGCCAUUAACUUCUUUUAAGAUUUUUUUAAGAUUUGUUAUUUUAUUUAUUUGAAAGGCUGAGUUAGAGGGAGACAUAGAGAGAAGGAGGGAAAGAGAGAGAGAGAGAGAGAGAUCUUUCAUUCAUUGGUUCAGUCCCCAAAUGGCAGCUUAUAGCUAGAGCUGGGCUGAUCCGAAGCAGGAACCAGGAACCUUCUCUGGGUCCUCAACGCGGGUGCAGGGACCCAAGCACUUGGGUCAUCUUCUAUUGCUUUCCCAGGCUAUAGCAGAGAGCUGGAUCAGAAGAGGAGCAGCUGGGACUCGAACUAGCAUCCACAUAGGAUGCCAGCACUGCAGACGGUGACUUUACCUGCUGCACCACAGCGCCGGCUCCAGUACCCUUAACUUUUUUUUUUUUAAAUUAAUUAAUUUAUUUGAAAGAGUUACACAGAGCGAGAAAGAGAGGUGGAGAGAGAGAGAGAGAGAGAGAGAGAGAAAGAGAGGUCUUUCAUCCACUGGUUCACUCCCCAAUUGGCUGCAAUGGCCUGAGCUGCGCCAAUUCAAGACCAAGAGCCAGGAGCUUCCUCUGGGUCUUCCCAUGCAGGUGUAGGGGCCCAAGGACUUGGGCCAUCUUCUAUUGCUUUCCCAGGCCAUAACAGCGAGCUGGAUUGGAAGUAGAGCAGCUGGAACUUGAACCAGCACCCAUAUAGGAUGCUGGCACUGCAGGCAGCAGCUUUACCUGAUACGCCACAGCGCCAGCCCCUCAUUAACUUCUAACUUUGGGAUUUGAUAUCCUGCAUGAGUUUUGGAGUCAAGUCAUAGUCAAACUAUAGCAUCCUGCCCCAUGGCUCCCUGAAACUCACAUCCUCCUUACAUACACAUACAAUCUUCCCAUCCUUAGUAGUUCCAAAGUCUUCUGUCCAGCACGAGAUCAAAAAUCCCAAGACCAGGGUCUCAUUUGAGACUCAGGACAAACUCUUUCAUUCAUUAGUUCCUGUAAAACCAAAAUAUGUUACCUGCUUCCAAGAUACAAUGGCAGGACACAAAUAGAAAAUGAGAAAUAGAGAAAUAGAAAGGAAAAAAGUCACCCCAAAACAAGACAGAAGCCCAGCAGGGUGAACAUCAAAUACUAAGGCUCCGUGUCCAGCAUCCUGGGCUCACUGUGGUGGUCGAGCCCCAAUAGGGCCCUCCUCUAUGGUUCUGUUGGUCUCUGCCCACGUGCCUGCUCUGGGACUGCAUGCGAAUGUCAAUGGCUUUUAAGAGUCAGUGUUGCUUACUGCUGAAUUCCUCUGCCUUCCUGGGGAAUCCACCCUGGCUUCUUUCCCAUAGCUUCACUAGGCAUCACCGUAUCAGGGGCUCGACACAGGGCUCCAACUCUGCAGUGCAGCUCUGCCUGCCCUCCUAGGACUUCCUCUGAAAUCCUGGUAGCAGCUGCCAUGGCUUCAUAAAUCAUGCAAAACCAGCAUCACAUGGGCAACAGCAUCAUUUGCACCGAACCCAUGGUUACAGCCCCAAAUGCUUCACCAGCUAAGGUCGGGGAAGCACAUCCACAGGUGAUCUUGGCUGAACUCUUGCAAAGUGCUCCAUGAUCUCCUGGCAUAUUACGGCCGUUCCAGGCCUCUGGGCUUGUGAUGCCCUUUGGGCAGCCACUUUCCCCACUGUCUUGCCCCUGGCACAUGGUUCCCUUGAACCUGCACUAAUCUCCUUAGCCAGCAGCUUCUCCACUCUACUUUACUGUCCAGAACAAACACUUCUUUCCUUCUCUGCUCAGGCUGUGAGUUGUCCAAAUCCUUCCACCCUACAACUUUUUUCUCCUGAUUUUCAGUGUGGAGCUAACGAAAGGUGGCCAGUAACACUCAUGCUCAAGCUGUAGCUCAAAUGCUGUGCUAUUUUGAAAUUUCUGCCAAAUAAGUGGUGUAUCACCUUUAAGCCUGGCUUUCCAUGAAUUCUUAGGUCAUGGACAGGGCAAAGUCAGGUUUGUGCUCAACGUGACAAGAGCGCCCUCUAGUACAGACCCCAACAGAAUCCUCAUUUUCAUCCAAAACCUCAACAGCAUGCUUUUCACCAUCUACCUGUCUAUCAGCAUUCUGGUAGUCUAAGUCCUCACUGUAACUGCCCAAGAUGCUCUGAUGAUAGAAUUCUAGGUUUUCUCCAGCCUGUUCUUCCAAACUUCCAGAUUCUUCCUGUUAACCAAUUUCAAAGGCACUUCGAUGUCUUCAGGUAUGGCUAUCCUUACAGCCCUAAUCCUAGUAUCACCUUUCUGUAUUAAUCAACUCUUCUUCAUUAUAUAAUGAAUACCUGACACAGUGUAACUCUGUAAAGGAAAGAGCUGUGUUUCUGUGCUUUGGCGCACAGUUCUGGAGGCUCACAGGCCAAGAUCAAGUGGGUGCUAUUGGUUCAGCCUCUCCUGAUGGUAUUCUCGCUGGCAGUCCCAAGGCAGUGCAGUGUCACGUGACAAAAGAGAGGUUACAUACGUGUCUGUUUAUGUACAAGUGGUCACUUAUAAAACCACCAGGAUUUAAUCAUGGGGCUCCAUCCUAGUGAUCCAAGACAGUCACUUUCUCAAGGUCCAUGCCCAAACACCGCAACUGGAUUAACUUUCCACUCGCUUAGUGCCAUUGACAUAAGGCUCUGUUGAUAUCAACAGGAGAAAAAUGAAGUACCAGCUAAAUGACUGAGCUACCCCUAAUCACUCAUCCCCAUUAAUGUUGCUAACGUUGGUUGAACAUAGUAGUACAGAAGUGGUUGCCACUAUAGUCUUCCACCAGAGAGAAUUUUCUAGAUAACUGAAUCUUACCUUCUUUAUCACUAAAAAAUAGAAACUCAUCAUUUAAACACUUCCCAAAUAAGCCUUCACAUGCAUCCUUGUCUUCUUAACAGAAGAAAUUGGACACAACUUCACCUUCUCUUCCUGAGCUGAAUUUAGCAUGAAAACAGCAACUGUUUUCUUCCCUGAAAAACGGAUAGCACAUCCUCUAUUUUCACACAGUUUGAGGAUGAUCUUAUUAGUAAUCUAUGGAAAGCAGGCAAUAGCAGUGUGGCAGCAAAUGAAAACCACUCAGAUGAGAACAUGCAAAGGCCAUUCAUGCAGAGUUUGCUGCAGCAAUGGAGUUAGCCACCGGUUGGUCCAUUUAUGCUGUUGUAAGAAGCUUCCAUAAACUGAGUGGCUUGUAAAUAAUGGAAAUUUAUUUCUCACAGUUCUGUAGGCUGGGAAGUCAAGAGUGAGGCACCGGCAGCUUCAGGGUCUGUUAAGAAUCCCCUGCCUGGGGUGGGAGCUGUGGUGUAGCAGGUAAAGCUGCUGCCUGGGGCGCAGGCAUCCCAUAUGGGUGCUGGUUUCAGACCCAGCUGCUCCACUUUUAGUCCAGCUCCCUCCUGGUGCACCUGGAAAAGCAGUAGAGGAUGGUCCAGGUGCUUAGGCCCCUGCCACCCACCUGGGAGACCUGGAGGAAGCUCCUGGCUCCCGGCUUCAGCCUGGCCCAGCCCUGGCCAUUGUGGCCAUCUGGAGAGUGAACCAGCAGAUUGAAGGUCUAUCUCUCCUUCCCUCCAUUCCUCCCUCUCUCUCUCUCUCUCUCUCUCUCUCUGCAACUCUGCCUUACAAAUAAUGAAUGAGUCUUUAAAAAAAAAAUGCAGAGACAUCCCCACCCCUUCCCCUCCCCCUCCCCACAAUGAGAAUCCCCUUCCUGGGUCACGAUGGCACCUUCCUGCUGUGUCCACACAAAGCUACUGCUGCUCCCCGACUUCAUCCCCUUCCAAGCUGCCAGCUGUUCACCAGGUCCUGCCUGUUCUUGGCCAGUGGCUGCAGUGGCUGUGGUGUGGGUCAGAGUCAUUGUCCCAUAUGAGUUGGCUGCCCUCAACUUGUUUAUUUGGUCUCUCAGCAGGGGAUUUCAAUGGGCACGAUAUCGAUUAAGGGUCAAGUUUGUAGACCACUGGCCUCGGUCUCCUCUGAUCAACAUUUUUUCAUAAAGCCAUCAUUUGCAUAAUGAAACGUCAGACCCUAAGAAAACAGACUGAUGCGAACUGCAGUGACACUCUACUGGGACAUGUUGGUUCUGCAGCCCCCCUCACGGUCUCAGCUGCUUCUCCCUGUCUUCCCGGAUCAGGCAUUAGGAAGACGCCUGCGUCCCACACCCGAGUACCUGGGUUCAUUCGUGGGCUCCAGGUCCUGGCUGCAGCCUCCCGCCAAUGCAGAGCCUGACAGGCAGUGGUGAUGGCACAAGUACUGGGACCAGCUCUGGCCACUGUGGGUAGUUGGAGUGUGAACCAGCUGUCUCUGUACUCUGUAUGGGAGCUGUCUCCCUACGUCUACCUGCCUGGCUCCCUCUACCUCUCAAAUUAACUAAUACAAAUCUAAAAAACAUGGUAAAGAUUUGGGGGCAAAUUUACUACAACCCCAUAAUAAACCAGCUCCCCUGUUGUGUUUGUAAACCCCAGAACUAAUGGGUUUUAUAUUGCUUAACAGUCAGGUGAAAAAAUCAACAGAAUAUUCCAUGACAUCAUAACAUUCAAACAUCCAUGACCAGAAAGAACUGUUUCAUGGUAGCACAGCCGUGCUCAUUCAUGAACACACUAUGAAUGCUUGCGUUUGUGCUACAGCCUGAAAUACUUCCUCUCUGACCCUACACAGCACAGUUUUCCAACCUUGAACUGGGGGCACGGGAGAGGUGCUGACAGUGACAUCGUGUUCUCUGGCCACUCACAGAGAGAAUGAGCCUUGUGGGCAGCCAGGCAAAGCUGAGGGCCCACGCAGGCUGAGACAGAAAGGAUAAGGCUGACCCCUUGGUCCCACACCAUGAGGAGUUGGUGCACAAUGACCAAUCUGGGAAAACUGAAAAUGAAAAUUGUCGCUUAUAUGAAAAAUGUAUGUUCUUACUGAAAAUACAUUUCCAGUCAGUAGAUUGGUGAUUUGACAAAUUCCAAAUCAAGAAUCAGUCUGUGAGCUACUUCAGAAAGCUUGAGUCGGUACAGGCAUUUGACCUAGCGGUUAGGAUGCUGGUGAAGUUGCUGGCCCCUCACAGUGAAGUGCCUGGGUUCAACCCCUGGCUCCGCUCCUGAUUCCAGCUUCCUGAUAAUGGACACCUGGGGGGCAGCAGUGAUGGCUCAAGUGGUUGGGUCCCAGGCAUCCAUGUGGAGACCUGGAUUGAGCUUCUGGAUUCGGCCUUGGCCAGUGUGGAGUGAAACAGUAAGAAAGCCAUCUUUCUCUCUUUCCCUCUGUGUGUGUGUCUCAAAUAAAUAAAUAAAUAACAUUUUUAAAGUUCAUGGAAAAUGGAGCUAUACAACACAUUUAUUUUGGUGCAAAAAUAUUUUGACAUCCAUCCCUAGUUUUUCCAUAAUCUGCAUUUCCCUGACAGGAAGAACUAACCUGGCUAAGAGAGAUCUCUGGACUGGAAACUGCGCAAGAUCUCCGGCUUCCCACAGCCCUGUGCCUGUCUGACUGGCACAGUGUGGGCUCGGGAGUGAGGGGGACCCGAGGCUCCUACACCAGACGGAACCCCCGGCUCCUACACCAGACGGAAUCCCCGCUCCCGCUUCCCCGUGGUGAAAUGCUGGUGAUAACAGCAGGUCCCCAGCACCAGCCCCAUGCCUGGCCCUCUUCAGAGCCCUGCCACCUGCCACCCUCCUGGGAGGAAGGAGGAGUCUGAAUGCUUGGCCACCUGUGAGCCACCGCUGUCUCCUGGCUUCCAUGCGUCCUUCCUGGGCACUUCUGUAGCAGCCCCGGAUCUCUUCAGCCAACCGCCCUCUGCUGUGCUGUCCUCCUGUGAACAGCGCAGUUAGCGCACACCUGCAGGCCUGCCCUUCACUAAUGCAGCCAGCACCAGAGGGAGGGCCAGGCACCUGCAGCGUCGCCUUGACAAAGCUCAGUGGACACAGCCCCUAAACCUUAAAGCACACACCCUGUGAGAAACUGACGGUGCGGAGAUGGGUAGAGUGGUUCCUAGUGGAGGGAAAGGCUCCAGUGUUUACUUAGUAUUUAUGUAUGUGAAAGGCACAGCUCCAGAGCUCUUCUGUCUGCCGGUUCACUCCCCGGAUGCCCACACAGCCAGAUGCAAAUUCCAUCCGGUUUCCCCCGGGGGUGGCAGAAACCAUUCUGGCCGUGGUUUGCUGCCCCCCAGGAAGCUGGGUCAGAAGCGCGGAGCAGCCGGGACUUGUGGAGCUUUAAUUCACUGUGCUGCAAGGCCUGCCCCAAGCCUUUUCUUUUUAUUUUGAUUUAUUUGAAAGAGUGAAAGAGAGAGGGCUCUUCUAUCUGCUGAUUCACUCCCCAACACCUGGCCCAGCUCUGGCUGAAACUGGGAGCCCAGGACUUCAUUGGGUCAGGGACCCAAGUAUUUGAGCCAUUGCCUGCUGCUUCCCAGGGUGCACAUUAGCAGGAAGCUGGAAUGGGAAAUGGGGCAGGGACUCAGACAUGGGCACUCUCCCAGGGGGAUGCAGGCAUCCCCGGGGGCAUCUUAACCACCGUGCCCAACAGCUGCCCCACAGCGCCCAGUCUGAUUGGACACUGGGGUGCAAGGGUGUCUCCCGGGAGACACAGAAGACACAAGACCUGGCCCAGCACUGCACACAGCAAGGCUGAGUGGAGGUGUGGGGUGACAGCCCUGUUACACCUGCUCACCCAGAACACCCAAGUUGCUACUCUGCCUUAACUUUCCUUCUUGUGAACCAAAGGUAAAUGUCAAUUCUUGAAAUAUACCCAACCUAAAUAGUAACUUAGAUCAAAUUACUUUUUAAGUAUUUAAAAGAAUUUUUUUUCAAAGGACAAAAGUAGUGAUUGGACAAGUGUAGUGAUUGUACCACAUACUAUGACUCAGGUUAUUAACUGAGUAUCUUAACUUAAUAUGUGCUGUACUGGCUGGCGUCGCGGCUCAAUAGGCUAAUCCUUGGCCUGCGGCGCCGGCACCCCGGGUUCUAGUCCUGGUUGGGGCGCCGGAUUCUGUCCCAGUUGCUCCUCUUCCAGGCCAGCUCUCUGCUGUGGCCAGGGAGUGCAGUGGAGGAUGGCUCAAAUCCUUGGGCCCUGCACCCGCAUGGGAGACCAGGAGAAGCACCUGGCUCCUGCCUUCGGAUCAGUGUGAUGCGCCAGCCGCAGCGCGGUGGGUGGGCUGCAGCGCACGGGCUGCAGCGGCCAAUGGGGAGUGAACCAACGGCAAAGGAAGACCUUUCUCUCUGUCUCUCUCUCUCACUGUCCACUCUGCCUGUAAAAAAAAAAAAAAA